UGUUCCUUUAGCGUUUGCGGAAGUGGAGGCUGAUAAUCUUCAGAUUAGCUUUCAAAUUUCAUUGUGAAUAUUAUUAAAUAUGUAGGCUAUUUAUCAACUAAAACCGUGGAUCAUCUUACGACAAUGUCUAGUUUUUUAGGGCAGAACUCACCACCUGAACCGCUGUACCUCCGUCAUGACCCCAGCAGCACGCGGUGGGCGGUAAAAGAAGAGAGAGGUUUUUCGGUCAAUAAUAUUACUGUCUGUCCGGCCCAUAGAUGCUGCGUCUGAGACAGAGACUUGCAGUGCCUAGAAGAGCAGCAGAGCCGUGCGGGGAGAUCUGACUUCCCUAAAGUAUCGGGCUAUAGUCAAAAAUAUUUACACUGCCAGGAGUUUCUGAGGCUGAUGUCUGUGGUGUUUCUCCAUACAACAAGAGUUCAUGGUGAACACAGCUGUCAAGCUCCAGACUGGACGUAUUACAUAUAAUAUAUACAAUACAUAUAAAGGCAAACAUCAGACCAUCAAUCUCUGGAAACAUCUUACAAUUUCAGCUUUUUAUUGCAGACUUCUCACAGCACCUUCCUCAUCUCCUGGCAGACUCCACGGCCCUCCUGGGACCCUGUGAAGAACCGAGAGAAUCAAAAGCAUAAAGACAGUUUGAGACAAAGAGUAACCAGGCAAGCACAUAAUUAUGGCUGCCGCAACUCGGCCAUGCAGAACCGCUGGAAAAAACACAGACGAAAGUUCAAAAUGUUACGGUAAGUGUGACCGGAGUGUGCAGUGCGGAAAGCAAAGGGGAAGAAAAAAGCAAAUCCCGAAUUUCUGCUCGGUCGAACUUUGUGCGGGCUGGAGAAGUGCAGCGUAUAAAAUAUGAACUAACUAUGUGAUUAUUAAUUGGGCCCCAUUUUGAUUUCUGUAUUCUGGGCUGCAUAUUGUUCGGCGGCUCUCCACGGGGUCCGUCUGAGCGCGCGCGUGUCGAGGGGCUCGGAGCUGCGCGCCUCAGCCAUUUAGAGAGCGGAGCGGCGCGCACGCACCGGAAUACCAAUGAGAGAGGUUAAAAAGGCACGGCUCCUCUCGGAGACGGCUCUCCUUCUUCCGCGCACCUCCGCCGGGUCUCCACGGACUAAUUUUCAAAACCACCUCUUAAUGUGGGCUUGUGUCAAUCACCUGAACAGACAGCUUUAUCCCCAGAUAUAGAAUAGUCUCUACAUUAGAGCUAGGCGCGCCGGCUACUACACAAUGGGGCCUCGGUUUCUGAAAUAAAGACGAUGGGGAAGAAAAGGCACUUUAAUGCCAAUUGGGUAUAAAAUAAUGCCUUAUUCAUGUUCAGGCACACAUUUACAUUAUAAUGAUAAAGGCUGAUAUCAAAAUGUGUCCGAAAGUCGUGUCGAUAAAGGAGUCAAGUACAUAAGGCUUUUCAUUUCUGCGUUUGGUUACACUGACUGCACGCACACAUAUACAUAACACUAAGAUGAACAUUUCUAAGCAAGGAAUCAUUUCUUUAUCCCCCCUUAGUAAACUUUCAUCUGUUCACGCUGGACGAAUGCUUUCUGACUGUGCCACUUCUGAAUCAAACUUCAAAAGAAACGGCUGGAGAUAAAAAUAAUAACACUGGGAACUCAUUUGGCCCUGAAAGCUGUCUGUUGUAGUCAUUUCACUUCAGACUUUAUUUCAAUAGACCGGACGAAGACAGGAAAUCUCUCAAUCGAACGCUGCUUGAAGUAAAUGUUCAUCGCUGUAUCUUAUAUUUUAAGAGGUCGUAUUUAAAGAGAG
Molecule: long non-coding RNA, 1752 nt
Organism: Misgurnus anguillicaudatus (oriental weatherfish)
Lineage: Eukaryota; Metazoa; Chordata; Actinopteri; Cypriniformes; Cobitidae
Source: RefSeq, a predicted model, not a curated record